This 73-nucleotide transfer RNA is filed under the name Felis catus (domestic cat). It matches the Rfam family "tRNA". Rfam says of the family: Transfer RNA (tRNA) molecules are approximately 80 nucleotides in length. Lineage: Eukaryota; Metazoa; Chordata; Mammalia; Carnivora; Felidae. The record is from Rfam by way of RNAcentral.
ACCUGGCUGGCUCAGUCAGAAGAGCAUGAGAUUCUUGAUCUCGGGAUCGUGAGUUCAAGCCCCAGGUUGGGUA